GCAUCCAAAACUGUUUAUUACUUGAACUAUUAACAAAUGUUCUUAAGGAUAAACUACUACCAAUGUACUGAGGAUGUGAUAUGAUUUUUACAGAGAGGGUGGUCAAACAGGGCAACAGGCUUCCUAAAAUGUUUGUUUCCUGCACUAACUAACUAUGAACAAAUGUUCUUAAGGAUAAGAUACAAUAAAUGCAUUUAAAGUAUGGGAUAUGAUUUUUACAGCAUGAUAAUCAGUGAGACAGGCUCCUUGAAAUACUUAGAUCUUGCAAUAUAUACAUAAUAUUAAAAUAAUAUAUGUAUAUAAAACAGUAUACACUUAUAUAUAAAUACCUAUUCUAUUAUAAAUAUAUACACAUGCAUAUAUGUAACAGUAUAUAUCUAUAUAUAAAUACAUAUAUAGCAAUAUAUACCUAUAUAUCCUACUAUAUAUAAAUACAUAAAUAUGAUAGGAUACAUCUCUAUAUAAACAAAUAUGUAUUCUAUUAUGUAUAAAAAUACAUAUAUAUAAAAGUAUAUCUCAUAUAAAUGACUAUAUACCCUAUUAUAUAUAAAUACAAAUAAAUCAUUAUAUAAGCUAUUAUAUAAAAAUAUAUAAAUAAUUACAAAUAAAUGAAGAUAUACCCUGUUAUAUAAGAGUGUAUAUAAAUACAAAUAAUAUAUACCCUAUUAUAAAUACAUAUACACACCCCCACAUAUAAAUGAAUAUAUACCCUAUUAUAUAUGAAUAUAUAAAUACAAAUAAACGUGUGUGUGUGUAUAUAUAUAUACACACACUAUUAUAUAUGAACAUAUAUAAAUACAAAUAAAUGUAUACCCUAUUAUAUACAAGUAUAUAUAAGUAAAUACAAAUAAAUGAAUAUGUACCCUAUUACAUAUAAAUACAAAUGAAUACACACCCUAUUAUAUAUCAAUAAAUGAAUAUAUAGCCUGUUAUAUAUAUAUAUACAUACACCCACAUAUAAAUGAAUAUAUACCCUAUUAAAUAUAUAUAUAUAAGUAAAUACAAAUAAAGGAACAUAAACCCUAUUAUACAUGAAUACACAUAAAUAAAUACAAAUAAAAAGGAAUAUAUACCCUAUUAUAUACAAGUGUAUAUAAAGAAAUAUGAAUAAAUGAAUAUAUACCGUUAUAUAUAAACAAAUAUAUAACCUAUUAUAUAUGAAUAUAGAAAUACAAAUCACUGAAUAUAUUCCCUAUUAUUUAUCCGUAAAUGAAUAUAUAACCUAUUAUAUAUAAAUACAGCUAUAUACACCUACAUAUAAAUGAAUAUAUACCCUGUUAUAUACAAGUAUAUAUAAAUACAAAUAAAUGAAUAUUUAUUAUAUGUAACUAUAAGUACAUACAUAUACAGCCAUAUAUAAAUGAAUAUCCUGUUACAGAUAAAUAUAAAUAAAUAUAAAAUAUAUAUCCUAACAUAAAGAUAUAUAACUACAUAUAUAUAGCCAUAUGUGAACGAAUAUAUACCCUAUUAUACGUAAAUAUGUAUAAAUAAAAAUAAAUGGCUAUAUAGAAUGAAUAUAUACCCUCUUCUAUAUCAAUACAUAUAAAUACACAUAUACACACACACCCACAUAUAUAUUUAUAUAGAAUAGGGUAUAUAUUCAUUUAUAUAACUGCAUAUGUAUAUACACACACCCAUAUAUAAAUUAACAUAUACCCUAUUCUGAAUAAAUAUAUAUAACUACAUAUAUAUACAUUUUUUUAUAUAUAUAUACACACACACAACAGUAUAUACCCAUGUAAGUAUAAGCUGAAAAUGCAUUUGUUUUUAUGAAGUAUUUGAUAUGAUUUUUACCAGCGCAACACGUUUCCUAAAUUCUUAUUACCUGGACUACCUGUUGACAGAAAGUAAAGAUAAUCUAACAAAAAUUCAUUUAAUUUUAAUAUCACAGGGUGCAAGAAGCUUCCUCAAAUGCUUAUUUCCUGCACUCCCUCUUCCCAGAUCUCCUUAAGGAUAAGCUACUAUCAAUGCAGUUAAUUUUAUUAACUAACUCUUUCAUCUGAUUUUUACAGAGGGGUUAGUCAAAUGAUGCAACAGGCUUCUUGAAGUGCUUAUUACCUCCACUAUCUAUUAACAAAUAUUCUUUAGGAUAAGCUACUACCACUGUAUUUAAUUUUAUGAAGUAUUUGAUUUCAUUUAUACUGACAACUGUCACCAGUUAACCUGAACUAUCUCUCACUGUCACCAAUUGCCCCAUCCUAUCCCAGACUGUAUUGCAGGCUAGCCCCUGACCGUGCGACUAUGGAUUCCAAGAUCCAUCACUUUCGUCUCUGAACCAGGAGACCCACAUAUGAGCCAUUCCCCGUACACAGCAUCACUAUCUCCUUUCCUUUCCUGACAAUCCUGCCUCUUUCCCAAGUGAUCACUCCAACGCAGAGUCCUCACACUUGAAGAACCUUAAGUCUGACAAUAAAACAACCCCCAGCACUUGAUGAUAGAAACCUCGUGUAAUUGUGGCACACACACCCCCCCCUUUACAGACGUUGUUUGGAGCUUACAAUGGGCCACGUACAGCCCAAUGCUUGUGUCCUGUACACCACCUCUACAAUAACUAACUCAUGCAUGAGAAACGCUUUUUUCUUCUAAUUUUAGAACCCAGCUAUUACAGAGCACUUGAAAACAUCUGUCUUCCUAUUCCCUUCAUCACACAAACUGCCUGUGCUACCCCAGCAAGGGAUUUAAAGUCUGCCAAAAGCUGGGUCUCCCACACAAACACAUAUAUCAACCUAAAGUUAUUCCUCUAGCCUAUUACAAGUGGUGAAUCCAAAAGGGAAAAGGUUCCUGUUAUGAACCACAUGCAGACUCUCUCCCUGGGGUUCCUAUAAGACACGUGGCAGCAAACCUGCCCUUCUUCCUACAUCACCAUUGAAUGCCAGCUUUUUUAUCAGAGGAUAAUUAAUUAAUCUCCAUAGGAAAAAAAUGGAAUCACAAACUAAAACAUGACAAAUAAGCUGCAGAUGACUGAAAGGUCAAGCUAAUAUACCAGCCUCCCAUGACUGAAAACAGGCAUUAACACACCCAUGCUUCUCCUCUACAUCAAACUUUGUAAAGGGAAGAGAAACGACACUGCAGCUAUCAUGUCAACACAAACAGUGUAAUGGAAAUGAUUACAAACUGUCCCAUCUUGUUUAUAUGCCCUGCAUGCCUCAGUUCAAAUCACUGCCAUCUCACUUCCAUACCUGGUCCUCAAUCUCUGCUCACAUGGACAGAAACGGGACACUGAGAACAGGAUAUUGUUCUGCAAGAAACCUGGGAAUAUGGGGUGGUUUUUAAGCCUCUGCACUGAAUUUGGCUCACCAUCUACAGAACUACCCAUUUCAAACCAUGCCUUGGGAAAUUCCUUCAUUUUGAGUGGGUUUAAUGCACACUCCAAAGCUUACACUGUAUUUAUCCCUACUGUCAGGGCAGAGUGCAGGGAAACAAACUGGUUUCUUAGCACACAACCCAUCACCCCACAGCCUCUCUAAGGGUUGACCUCACAGGGCACACACAUGUUGGGUAACAUGAAAUAAACCACAUGAAAUAAACAUGAAAUCGACCCUCCACAUGAGAAGAAGGAGCACGAAGCGCACUGCAGAGCAGCAAACCCCCCUCUGCUCACCCAAAGCAGACAAAACAGACUUGGUUUUACACAAACAGUGCAUUCCCGACCUUUGGAAAUCAAUACAGUGUACACAACUUCCAUAAACCACCUGUUUUGGUUAUCAUAGGGUUGGAAGGGACUUCAAAGCUCAUCUAGUUCCAGAGGGCAGGGACAACUUCCACUAGAUCAGGUUGCUCCAAGCCCCGUCCACCCUGGCCUUGAACACUGCCACCCCCAUAGGGAAGAGCAUCCCAAUAUCCCACCUCCCGCGUCCUGUUGCUCGCACCGAUCGCUUUCGCUCUACACAUCAUCGCCGUAUCCCCGCCCCGCCGCG
RNAcentral lists this long non-coding RNA (3917 nucleotides) under Strigops habroptila (Kakapo). RNAcentral's name for it is "lncRNA (ENSSHBG00005012097.1)". The record is from RNAcentral. Lineage: Eukaryota; Metazoa; Chordata; Aves; Psittaciformes; Psittacidae.